This 101-nucleotide non-coding RNA is filed under the name Clostridium mediterraneense. RNAcentral's name for it is "SAM riboswitch (S box leader)". It matches the Rfam family "SAM riboswitch aptamer (S box leader)". Rfam says of the family: The SAM riboswitch is found upstream of a number of genes which code for proteins involved in methionine or cysteine biosynthesis in Gram-positive bacteria. The SAM riboswitch acts at the level of transcription termination control. The record is from RNAcentral. Lineage: Bacteria; Bacillati; Bacillota; Clostridia; Eubacteriales; Clostridiaceae.
UCUUAUCAAGAGCGGUGGAGGGACUGGCCCUAUGAAACCCAGCAACCAAUAUUUAUAGAAGUAUAUGGUGCUAAUUCCUGUAGUGAAAACUAAUAGAUAAG